Molecule: ribosomal RNA, 499 nt
Filed under: uncultured Glomeromycotina
Lineage: Eukaryota; Fungi; Glomeromycota
Description: partial small subunit ribosomal RNA
Rfam family: Eukaryotic small subunit ribosomal RNA
Source: RNAcentral
CCAAUAGCGUAUAUUAAAGUUGUUGCAGUUAAAAAGCUCGUAGUUGAAUUUCGGGAUCAAUAUGUCGGUCGUGCUUCGGUACGUACUGGCGUUAUUGGUUUCUCCCUUCUGAAGAACCGCGAUGUCAUUAAUUUGGUGUCGUGGGGAAUCAGGACUGUUACUUUGAAAAAAUUAGAGUGUUUAAAGCAGGCUCGCGCUUGAAUACAUUAGCAUGGAAUAAUGAAAUAGGACGUUUGAUUCUAUUUUGUUGGUUUUUAGGAUCGACGUAAUGAUUAAUAGGGAUAGUUGGGGGCAUUAGUAUUCAAUUGUCAGAGGUGAAAUUCUUGGAUUUAUUGAAGACUAACUACUGCGAAAGCAUUUGCCAAGGAUGUUUUCAUUAAUCAAGAACGAAAGUUAGGGGAUCGAAGACGAUCAGAUACCGUCGUAGUCUUAACCAUAAACUAUGCCGACUAGGGAUCGGAUGAUGUUAAUUUUUUAAUGACUCAUUCGGCGCCUUACG